AUCUGAAGCCUGAAGAGGAUGAGAACCUCCGGGGGCAAGAGGUUCGACUCGAGCGAAGCGAGAGAACGUUGCGUCAGCAACGGCCCGCAGAGCGCCUCUAUUGCCGGGCGGUCGACGCUCGCACCACCA
This 129-nucleotide small RNA is filed under the name Salmonella enterica subsp. salamae. RNAcentral's name for it is "RtT sRNA". It matches the Rfam family "RtT RNA". From Rfam's summary of the family: This family represents a bacterial cis-regulatory element known as RtT RNA. The exact function of RtT is unknown although it is thought that it may be involved in changing the cellular response in relation to amino acid starvation. Lineage: Bacteria; Pseudomonadati; Pseudomonadota; Gammaproteobacteria; Enterobacterales; Enterobacteriaceae. The record is from RNAcentral.